RNAcentral lists this small RNA (1763 nucleotides) under Pongo abelii (Sumatran orangutan). Its description in RNAcentral is "retained intron". The record is from RNAcentral. Lineage: Eukaryota; Metazoa; Chordata; Mammalia; Primates; Hominidae.
GGGAGGAUGGAGAGUGGUUUGGGGUUUGGGGUCAGGCUCUAAGGUGAUCAGUUGCAGAAGCAUUACAUGGUGGCCUGGUUUCUUUACUCAGCCCCUGGGGUAGAUCACAGCCCCCCAGGUAGGUCCUUUCGCUGGAAAAGGAAGAGGGAGUGGUCAGACGAAUCUGAGGAGUCAUUGGAGGAGGAGCCAAAGAAGGAGCUCGUCCCUGAGCCUGAGGAGACCUGGGUGGCGGAGACACUGUGUGGCCUCAAGAUGAAGCCGAAGAGACGGCGAGUGUCGCUCGUGCUCCCUGAGCACCACGAGGCCUUCAACAGGCUGCUUGCUAUCUGGCCAAUGACAUGGAGGAGGACGACGAGGCCCCCAAAGAAAACAUCUUUUACUUCCUGUACGGGAAGACCCGCUCUCACAUACCCUUGCUCCGUAAGCGUCGGUUCCGGUUAUGCCGUUCCAUGAACUGGAGGGCCAGGAAGAACCGCUCUCCGAUAGCCUUGUUCCAGAAGCUUCGGUUCCAGUUCUUCUGUUCCAUGCGCUGCAGGGCUUGGGUUUCCCCGGAGGAGUUGGAGGAGAUCCAGGCUUAUGACCCAGAGCACUGGGUAUGGGCGCGAGAUCGCGCCCGCCUUUCCUAGAGCUCCAGGGACAUGGAGGCCUGAGGUCAUCGGCCUGAGAGAAGGUACAUCUGUAUCCUCCGGGGUAAAGGCAGAUAUUGGGUCUAUUUCGGAAAUCCAGGAACCCAAUUGCUUGAUCCGGCUUCAAGCCUGGGCAACGUGGCGAGAUCCCCUCUCCACAAAAAUACAAAAAUUAGCCAGGCGAUGUGGGAAGCAUCUCUACUCCCAACUACUCAGGAGGCUGAGGCGGGAGGAUGGCUGGAGCCUGGGAGGUCAGGGCUGCAUGGAGCCCUGAUCCUGCCACUGCACUCCAGCCCAGGAGACAGAGUGAGACCCUGCCUCAAAAAUAAUCAUAAUUACUGAGUUCGAGGAGGUUCAUUAUGAUUGAUGCACUUGAGUUCCGAUUUGGGUCGAGGGUUCAGUGAAGCUUUGGUUUACAUCUUGUGCAGCUAACCACGUUGAGCACAGAGCAUGAGACUUCAUCAUGAGGAGGUAGGAUUAGGGAUUAGGCUUCUGGACUCGUGGUUCGUGAUGUUGUCACAUUAGAAACACAUCUAGCAUGGUUACAAGUUUAGAUCUUAAGUGACACAAAAGGCCCCAGCUGUGAUGAAGUCCAAAGCCACAUUCUCUGAGGGCGCCCUACUCCCUGGGCAGACCCACCCAAAGUCCUCGCUAUGAAGCAGAUCACUGGGGCUGACCUUGGGAGUAUUAAGUGAGUUUUGGAGUCAUGGUCACCGAAGUGCGAGUAUCACAGUUGAACACGAUGGUUCAGAAGCAGGGUACAGAAUGAAAGGCAGGAGAUAAAAUUGCUCUGAACUCUAGUUAGACUUGACAUGGGACGUGAAUAACCUUCCUGUCUAGAGAGCUGCCUCCUUGAAGUGUGACAGCGUCUCUCUCACUUCCAGAACACCGGGCCCAGGGGAGAUGUGGAUUUUCCGCAGGAACUUUAUUCCAAUGCUCAUGGCAGACACCAGGAAGGAGGAGAGGAGCCGUUUGUGCAGAUCAUCUGGAAGAACCUGGACCGUUCUUGAUGGAGCUGAAUACAGUGAUCACGUUGUCCUCCUAGGAGCAGGGGUGGAGGGUGGGGGGUGGGGUACUUCUAGGAGUCCUUGGAGAAAAGUAAGAAACCAGGAGUGUUUCCAGUUCCACCCUUUCCUG